GCCGGCGUGGUGGAACGGGCAGACACGGCUGCCUUAAAAGCGGCUGCUCUUCGGGGCGUGCGGGUUCGAAUCCCGCCGCCGGCA
This 84-nucleotide transfer RNA is filed under the name Acidimicrobiia bacterium. Its description in RNAcentral is "tRNA-Leu". It matches the Rfam family "tRNA". Rfam says of the family: Transfer RNA (tRNA) molecules are approximately 80 nucleotides in length. Their secondary structure includes four short double-helical elements and three loops (D, anti-codon, and T loops). RNAcentral also lists the same sequence under 1 other name. The record is from RNAcentral. Lineage: Bacteria; Bacillati; Actinomycetota; Acidimicrobiia.